RNAcentral lists this ribosomal RNA (275 nucleotides) under uncultured bacterium. RNAcentral describes it as "partial 16S ribosomal RNA". It matches the Rfam family "Bacterial small subunit ribosomal RNA", at positions 79 to 353 of the family's 1533-position model. The record is from RNAcentral.
CUAAGUUUGAUGGCGACCGGCGCACGGGUGAGUAACACGUAUCCAACCUGCCGAUAACUCCGGAAUAGCCUUUCGAAAGAAAGAUUAAUACCGGAUGGCAUACGAAUAUCGCAUGAUAUUUUUAUUAAAGAAUUUCGGUCAUCGAUGGGGAUGCGUUCCAUUAGGUUGUUGGCGGGGUAACGGCCCACCAAGCCUUCGAUGGAUAGGGGUUCUGAGAGGAAGGUCCCCCACAUUGGAACUGAGACACGGUCCAAACUCCUACGGGAGGCAGCAUG